UUGCUAGGUUGUUUACAAUAUCAACAAUGCUUUGAGUUUCUGCUCUUUCGGUUUUUAGAAAUUUUAGUCUAUUUGGAGUGGCAAAAAAUAAAUCUCGUACUUCAAUAUGUGUCCCUUGCGAUAAAGAAUACGGCAGUAAUGGCAGCAUUAUAUGCUCCAUUUUCUCCUAUAGACAUGGUUGCAACUGGAACACCCUUUGGCAUUUGAACUAUAGAGAGUAGGCUGUCCAGCCCAUUUAAUUGUUUACUAUGCACAGGAACGCCGAUAACUGGUAAACAAGUUAGUGACGCAACCAUACCAGAUUUAGCAAAAUUGAAGAGCCUUUCUGGUGUUCUAUGUGCAGAUAUUAUGAAUAUAUCAUGUGAAACUUCUAAUGCUUUUAACAUAUCAACAGUAUGGACCAUAGUGGUGUAAUCUGACUCACUUCCCAUAAUAACAGCAACAUCUUUUUUUAUUUUUGUCAUAUUCAACACAAUUUUACUUACUAACUAAAUAAUGUUCCAGCUAAAAAGCAACAAAUAUUUAAAUUAUAUUAUAAAUAUAAUAUAUAGAAUUCUC
Drosophila ananassae is the source of this 558-nucleotide long non-coding RNA. RefSeq lists it as uncharacterized. The transcript has 3 exons. NCBI's taxonomy places the organism in Eukaryota, Metazoa, Arthropoda, Insecta, Diptera, Drosophilidae. The record is from RefSeq and is a predicted model, not a curated record.